Molecule: ribosomal RNA, 442 nt
Filed under: uncultured bacterium
Lineage: Bacteria
Description: bacterial SSU rRNA
Rfam family: Bacterial small subunit ribosomal RNA
Source: RNAcentral
UGGCUCGAGAGCACGCUGGCGGCAGGCCUAAUACAUGCAAGUCGAGCGGCUCCUUCGGGGGGCAGCGGCGGACGGGUGAGUAACGCGUGGGAACGUGCCCUUUGGUACGGAACAACUGAGGGAAACUUCAGCUAAUACCGUAUGUGCCCUUCGGGGGGAAAGAUUUAUCGCCAUUGGAGCGGCCCGCGUUAGAUUAGCUUGUUGGUGGGGUAAUGGCCCACCAAGGCGACGAUCUAUAGCUGGUCUGAGAGGAUGAUCAGCCACACUGGGACUGAGACACGGCCCAGACUCCUACGGGAGGCAGCAGUAGGGAAUCUUGCGCAAUGGGCGAAAGCCUGACGCAGCCAUGCCGCGUGAAUGAUGAAGGUCUUAGGAUUGUAAAAUUCUUUCACCGGGGACGAUAAUGACGGUACCCGGAGAAAAAGCCCCGGCUAACUUCGUG